AAUAAAUUUUUUAUGGUUUGAAAAAUUUAUAAUAAGUUUAUUUUACAUAUAAAUUUUAGUGUUAAUUUUUAAUUAUUUUAAUAAUAAUUAAUUUAUUUUAUAGUAGUAAUUAAUUUUAAAAAUUUAAGAAAUUAAGAUUUAGUAAUAUAAAAAUUUUUAACUAAUUUUGUGCCAGCAGUUGCGGUUAUACAAAAAAAAUAUAAAUUUUUUUAGUGAUUAAUUAAUAAAUUUAUUAUUAAAUAAAUUAAAUUUUAAAUUAUUAAGUGAAAUUUUAAUUUAAUAUAAUUUUAUAAUAAAAUUAUGUUUAUUAAUAAAUUUUAUUAAAAACUAGGAUUAGAUACCCUAUUAUUAAAAAUUUAAAUUAAAAAUACUAAAAUAGUAAAUAAUUAUUUAUUGAAACUUAAAUGAUUUGGCGGUAUUUUAGUUCAUUUAGAGGAAUCUGUUUAAUAAUUGAUAAUCCACGAAUAAAUUUACUUAAUUUAAAAGUUUAUAUAUCGUUGUUAAAAAAAUAUUUUUUAAUAAAAAUAAUAUUUUAAAAUUUAAAUUUAAAAUUAAAUCAGAUCAAGAUGUAGUUUAUAAUUAAGAAUAUAAUGGAUUACAAUGAAUUUAUUUAUAUGGCUUUUAAUUUGAAAUAAUUAAAUAAAAGUGGAUUUAACUGUAAUUUUUUUUAAUUUAAAAAAAUGAUUAAAAAUUAAAAUAUGUACAUAUUGCCCGUCGCUUUCAUUUAAAAAUUGAAAUAAGUCGUAACAAAGUAGAGGUACUGGAAAGUGUUUCUAGAAAGAU
RNAcentral lists this non-coding RNA (783 nucleotides) under Comparmustilia semiravida. The record is from RNAcentral. Lineage: Eukaryota; Metazoa; Arthropoda; Insecta; Lepidoptera; Endromidae.